UUUCCCUUUUUUGGUGGAUUUGGGGCUUUGGGGUGAGUUUUUAACAGGGAAAUUCUCUUCCUCUGCUUCCCAGCAGUUCCUGUCAGGGUUAUUUCACCAGAACACGGGAAUGUGAAAUAUUCCAGAAUAUCCACAGGGUGGCACCACCGGAGCCGCUUUGGGCGAUGCCUUUUUUCCCAAAAUUUGCAUUUUGAGGACCUGGGAAGAAGAGUGAGAAGAAAGGGGAUUCUGGAGAGAAGCUGAUCCUUUCUCUGCUGGCAGUGGAAUUAUCCCUGGUUCUUUUCAGCAUUCCCUGGACAGAGCUCAUCCCACCUUCCUUCCCACUCUGCGUGUCACCAGGCUCUGGCAGGAGAGCUGCUCCUGGGGCUGGAAGCAAUUACAGCAAUUCUGCAUCUGGAUCGAAUAUUGUCGGAGCAAACUUGGUAGCUGCAAACGUGUCAAGUUUACAAACUGCUCGGGGUGAGUUGUAGCUACUGCUCCAGUGAAACGGGGGGCACAGAAAUCCUUGGGAAAUUCAUAUUGCUGUGUUAUCCACAGAAAGGGCCUGGAAGCUUCAUUUCCAUCAAUAAUUCUCAUUUUUGCUAAUCAAUCCUUUAUAAAUCCAGUAUUUACCCUGCUGGUUUGGUGUGCCCCAAAGCUGAGGAAGAGUUUUCCUUAAGCUGUCGUUAAAAUGUGAAUACUUUCAAUUUUAAAUUUCUAUAAAGCACUAAAAGCUGCUUUUACUAGAAAAGGACCAAUUUUGGGAAACUUUAAAUGCCAGUUAUUGGUAAAUGUGUUCCAGGAAUUUUGUAAUUUGAUGGAAAGGUGGGUGAGGGUCAGAUUUCCUAUCAGCAGUACAGACCAUGGCUUUGAUCACUGAUUUAAUUCCUGGAGUGGCAGUUUGCACUUGAAAUGCUGCCUCUUAAUUUGAGUACAUCAAAUAGAUGAAAACCAACAGAUGCUCUAACCCUCAGUAUUGUGAAUUAUUGUCAAAAGCUCCCUUAUUUCCUGCUCCUGUAGUUUUCCCCUUAAGGUUUUCCUGAUGCAUUGGGUAAUUUGUGAUUAGAGCUUGAGGGUUUUUAUUAUUAGAAACUUAAUUCUUGCUGUUUCCCAGAUAUUUGUACAAUAUUCUCUACACAGUAGUUUUAAUACUUGAUUAAGUAAGUUUGGAACGAUGGUGCAUUAUUAUUAUUUACAUCACAACAUUAAGUGAGUUUCAUUUCUUUUUCAAAUGCACUGUGUAACAGCUGAGAGUAACUUCAGUGCACUGUAAAUUAGUAGAGAAUAAUGUGAAUAUGAGAAAAGCCUUCUUUGGGUGCUUCUCUGGGCCUGCCCACCCUCCCAGGGCGGAAUUCCUUCCCAAAAUCCCACCCAGCCCUGCCCUGUGUCCUAAAACCCUCUCAGGUGUCUUCGGCAGAUAAAUGAGCUUCAAAGAAAGGCGAAAUAAUUUAAAUUUCCGUGGUCAGCAGCUGGCACAAGUUGCGGUUCCGUGGCUCCCUUUUCCACCUUCAGGGUGAAUUUUCCCGCGGGUUGUGCAGAGGAAGGAGGUUGAGGUGCCGGACACAGAGCGGGGAUGAACGCGCGGCUCCGGCUCCGUGUCCGUCCUGCCCCGAGCGGGGUCAGCUCCGCUCCUCCAUCCCCUGA
This is a long non-coding RNA of Melospiza melodia melodia, 1623 nucleotides long. RefSeq lists it as uncharacterized. The record is from RefSeq and is a predicted model, not a curated record. The transcript has 3 exons. Lineage: Eukaryota; Metazoa; Chordata; Aves; Passeriformes; Passerellidae.